RNAcentral lists this ribosomal RNA (86 nucleotides) under Paenibacillus sp. Soil750. RNAcentral describes it as "partial 23S ribosomal RNA". It matches the Rfam family "Bacterial large subunit ribosomal RNA", at positions 2840 to 2925 of the family's 2925-position model. The record is from RNAcentral. Lineage: Bacteria; Bacillati; Bacillota; Bacilli; Caryophanales; Paenibacillaceae.
GUAGACGACGAGGUUGAUAGGUUCGAGGUGGAAGUGCGGYAACGUAUGCAGCUGACGAAUACUAAUCGGUCGAGGGCUUAACCAAA